GUAGGGAAUAUUGGACAAUGGGCGAAAGCCUGAUCCAGCAAUGCCGCGUGAGUGAUGAAGGCCUUAGGGUUGUAAAGCUCUUUUACCAGGGAUGAUAAUGACAGUACCUGGAGAAUAAGCUCCGGCUAACUCCGUGCCAGCAGCCGCGGUAAUACGGAGGGAGCUAGCGUUGUUCGGAAUUACUGGGCGUAAAGCGCGCGUAGGCGGCGAUUUAAGUCAGAGGUGAAAGCCCGGGGCUCAACCCCGGAAUAGCCUUUGAGACUGGAUUGCUAGAAUCCUGGAGAGGUGAGUGGAAUUCCGAGUGUAGAGGUGAAAUUCGUAGAUAUUCGGAAGAACACCAGUGGCGAAGGCGGCUCACUGGACAGGUAUUGACGCUGAGGUGCGAAAGCGUGGGGAGCAAACAGGAUUAGAAACCCGGGUAGUCC
This 425-nucleotide ribosomal RNA is filed under the name uncultured bacterium. RNAcentral describes it as "partial 16S ribosomal RNA". It matches the Rfam family "Bacterial small subunit ribosomal RNA", at positions 354 to 796 of the family's 1533-position model. The record is from RNAcentral.